UACGUAGGGUGCAAGCGUUGUCCGGAAUUAUUGGGCGUAAAGAGCUCGUAGGCGGCUUGUCGCGUCGGUUGUGAAAACCUGGGGCUCAACCCCGGGCCUGCAGCCGAUACGGGCAAGCUAGAGUUCGGUAGGGGAGACUGGAAUUCCUGGUGUAGCGGUGAAAUGCGCAGAUAUCAGGAGGAACACCGGUGGCGAAGGCGGGUCUCUGGGCCGAUACUGACGCUGAGGAGCGAAAGCGUGGGGAGCGAACAGG
RNAcentral lists this ribosomal RNA (253 nucleotides) under uncultured bacterium. RNAcentral describes it as "partial 16S ribosomal RNA". It matches the Rfam family "Bacterial small subunit ribosomal RNA", at positions 524 to 776 of the family's 1533-position model. The record is from RNAcentral.